AUAGAUAGCGCGCUUUCUAACAAGCGCUAUCUAUGCUUCUGCAUAUCAAUAGAUAGCGCUUAUUGUAAAAAGCGCUAUCUAUUGAGCGCUAUCUAUUCUCCAUUUUGUAGUAGUGGUUCUAUUUGCUUUUUCCAAUUCAGCAUAUAAGUAUAUUUUGAUUUAUGCUUUCUAUUCUUUUCUUUUAAUGACUGAAACCACGCAUCUUGCUACCAAGAUUCAGACAAUAUGGAUGCACAAUUAAUCAGUAACAAUAAUAUCACACUGCAACUUAUUCACAAAAUUUUUUGGCUGAAACAAUGAAACCUGAUUGGCUAUAUUUAGCAGACAAUGGUAAUUUGCAAAUUGAAAGCUUUCAACAACUUUUAUUGUCCAAAUGUGACUUAUAUCAAUGGUCAAAUGAAACAGUUCAUGCAUGAAUCAUAUUUUGACUCUAUGAGUUGCCAUUUCAAGCUAAAUCAUAACCAAUGCAUUAUAAAGAUUUUAGCACAGGAUUCAAAAGUGUUUGGAUCAGUGAUUUUGCAGUCAGGCAAUUGCUGUCAGGCACUGCUUACGGCCCAUUCAAAAUUUCACCACAUAGGUUGCUUAAUUUUACCAAAAAUGAUCCAUACACACAUGACAAUCCAUCAGAUUGAUUCACUCAAAGUUUAACACAAUCUAAUGAUUCCAAACAGCACACGAAAUUGAACAAGACUCUUUAGAAUUUAUGAAGAAAUCCAGAAAAGAAAAACUAUAGCUGGACAGAUUUUAAAAGAAAAAUUACAAGACUCUCAAAGAUAUAUGCAGCACGGUUCAAGCUGUUAUAUAUUGAAUUUGGAAUCUGCAGAGUAAUGUUUUCCACUUUAAUGUCUUAACAUGAAUUGUGGUAUGCAUUUCCUCUUAUUGCAUCAUAUCCAACAAUCAAUAUCACAUAGUUAUGACAGUAAAAACACCAUAACAGAUCACACAACUGCUGGUGCACAUAACAAUUUUACACUAGAUGCAAACCAGAAUUUUCACCUCGGUGACAGUUAAACUAUGUUAACCUAUGGUACUGCUUUGCUGAGGAGCUUCAAGAUGCACUAGGCUUCUUAUUGAAUUACUCCAAUCAACUAUGUAGAUUUAUCCAUUCUUGCUUAAACAUGAAACUUUAACAAAAUUGGAAAGAACAUUGACAUGACUUUAACAAAACAGAAUCAAGAUUUAAAAAAAAUAAAGACUCAAAUCAAUAACAUGAACCGAUUAAAAUGAUAAAACCAAAGCAAAACAAGGCUGGAUCAAUCAAAUGACUCAAAGGAAUCUAUGGAAUGUAAAAAAAAUCAAUGGAAUAGUGAAACAAACAAAGCACACGCAAGGAAGGUUGAUGACAAUACGGAUCAAGAUAAAGAACUUAUCUCGAUAGUGACUCGUUCGCGAUGCUUGAAACGCUGCAACAACCAAGCUCUGAAUACCACUUGAUGACCGGAUGACUCGGUGGAGCUUGCAUCGUGACACCAGAGUGAAUCAGAGAAGCGUUAAUGAAACAGAGUGGAUGAUGAAUAACAGCAGCAGCGGAGGGUGGAAUGUGGAAGUGAAAUAAUGGAUGCAUAUCUGAGAUGGAAUGUAUCUAGUUCAGUCGCCUUCCAUUCUUGGAAGGAACUAGGUGGUGAGUGGAAAGAUCUAAGAAGACUUUGGCAAAACUCUAAAGCUGGAAAGCAAGU
RNAcentral lists this long non-coding RNA (1676 nucleotides) under Vigna radiata. RNAcentral describes it as "long non-coding RNA (VRAD_LNC000500)". The record is from RNAcentral. Lineage: Eukaryota; Viridiplantae; Streptophyta; Magnoliopsida; Fabales; Fabaceae.